CACAAUGAAAAAUGAUUGAAAUACUGCGAGUGUGGCAAACAAACUAGCUAGUUCCAAUUUUGAGCACUGCUACUUUACAUAAGUAAAUGACCAAACCUAUCACCAAAAAGGAAAUUGUGUACACAAAAUGGAAGAAAAAACACAGGACGAAAUACGCGAGAAAUUCCAGGACACAGCGGCGGUCACGCGUUUUCUGACGGCUGACCUGAUUGGGAGCACGCCGCUGCCGUUGGAGUUGACGCCCCGGCCUGGAGCCACCGUCAUCGAGGGGGGAUUGCCGCGUUCGGCGCCGCUCGCGGUGACGGUCGGCCUCGCACUCGCUACUGGUGGUGGUGGAAGCCUCGCACUCGCUAUCGCUAGUCGCUACUGAUGGUUCCAAGAGCAAAGGCCCAUGUUGUUUGGGAUCCAGUAGGCCCAAUCAAGCCGUUGACUCCGAGGAGAGCCGCUUCCGAUGUCCUCGCCUCUUGCCGACACCUUCACCCACUCCCAGCAGGCCAGCACACAUUGGCGACGCUUCUCGCCGGAGAAGGGUGGGCGGAGGAUGCCCUGCCUGGCCCCUGCCAAUUGACGGCCACAUGGCUUCUUCUAGCAGGUCAGCAGCCCCUUAUCCCCCCCCCCCCCCCCCCCCCCCCCGAUCGAGAUUCAGUUUAGAAAUCCAGGCCAAAAAGUGGAAUCUUAAAAUGCCGGAACAAAUCUGACCUUAUAUGCAGGCAAGUAGAUAAACCUACCACGACGAGCAAACGCAGAUCUGUAGCCUAGUCGUUCGGGGUGGUCGAAUGG
Molecule: long non-coding RNA, 780 nt
Filed under: Zea mays
Lineage: Eukaryota; Viridiplantae; Streptophyta; Magnoliopsida; Poales; Poaceae
Description: long non-coding RNA (ZMAY_LNC002127)
Source: RNAcentral